GCAUAAGGAUCAUUUGUUAUGUUGAUCAAAACUCCAUUUGGGCCUUGGAAAUAAAUGAAAAUUGGACAUGAAGUGUAGGGUGCAAAACAUGCAUAUGUGAGAUAUUCAAAAUUGGCCAAAGUUCAAUCCCUUCUGUCUCAUUGAUACAAGAUCCAAAUGACACAAUCAUCAACCUGAAAGUUGUAGAUCUUUUCAAGGCAAUCAAUUUGGCCUUAAAUUUUG
Molecule: long non-coding RNA, 222 nt
Filed under: Lathyrus oleraceus (garden pea)
Lineage: Eukaryota; Viridiplantae; Streptophyta; Magnoliopsida; Fabales; Fabaceae
Description: Pisum sativum (pea) long non-coding RNA (PSAT_LNC004753)
Source: RNAcentral